GAUUCACUCUUCCUGUUUACUUUUGGAAUACUCUCCAAAUCCAUAAGCAAAAGAGUUGAAUAGAAGAAGGAGAGAGGAAGAAAAAGAAUAAAAGAAAAAAGAAGACAGGAGAGAGGAAGAAGAAGGAAAAUGAUUAAUGUCCUGUUAUCCCCACCUGCAAACCUGGCUGGAGUUGAUAACAAAACCUUUACUGCUGUUCUCUGGUAGCCUUUUCUAUGUGCCAUAGGGAUGUGGUUUCUGAAGGAAAUGAGUUCUAGGUUUUUCUCACAAAUAUCCAAAAGUAGAACAGUGGGGAUCUUGACUACUAAUCACCCCACAUAACAACAGGACCACAGUGGUGGAAUGUGGCUAAUGGGACUAGAAUCUUCUGCUUACUCAUUCGCUUUGGGAAUUAAAUUGUUCUUAGACUUGGUAUGCUGGUGGACUAAAUGUUUUAAUAAAAACAGCCACGAGACACCAGUUUUCUUUGCAAAGGCUUUUCCUUCUAACCACUCUGAAUAUAUUGCUGAGAGGUUCCUGCUUCUGGAAGACCAUCUGUGAGGCGCUUAGACUUACCUGAAAUUUCAGGGCACUAUGUCAGCCAGUUCCUUCACAGUGGUGUGUCUGGCGCCUGAACAAGGACUUGGUGGGCCAGACACAUUUAAAAUGUAAAAGGAGAUUAUAAUAUUAUUUUGCAUUGCAACAGUUAGAGUAUUUCUGGCUAGUUGCUGACAAGUCGAUCAUAAUAACCAUGCGUGGUGCAACAAACCACACGGCACUGUAUCAGAAGCUUAGAGUUACUAUCUUCAAAUGACCCAGAGAUUUUUUUGAAAAAGAGAAAUGGUGGAUGCUUUUUUCCCCCAUUCAGUAAGCAUAUAUUGAAUGCCUAUUGUCAGUGAUGGCCUCUUUAUUCACAGAAGGGAGCUGGGCUAUGCCAGACUCUCACCAUGUUCUUUCCUCUUUAACACUGAACAAAAUAUCAGUAAAACACCAAGUACUACAGCUUUUUUUGAACCUGAUAGGCAAUCAGUAUGUAGUAACUGGCCAUGCUGAUGAGAGUAGGAACUGGUGAUACUGAUAGCAAUGGGAAUGCAUUCCUCACAAAGGCACAGCAGUUUAAGAACAUUUCAGGGACAAUUCGGGGCGGGGGCGGUAAAUGAGCAGAUCUGGUCUGACCUAUUUACAUGUUCCAACAAAUGUCUAGAACUCUAGAUACCUUGAAAAAUCUGAGAACAUGAUCAUGCCAUUUUUAUGGGGAUGACAGAAUUCUUACGGAAAAGACUUGUAUAUGUUUAUCUAGUGAGCUUCUCUAUUUGUAGAAUACUCAGAAUACCUCUGAGAACCCAUCUUAAUUUUUAGAAUCAUUUAUAAGAAUCUGACAACUUAUUAUUAUAAAAUAAACUUCAAAGCAAUUACUUGAGAAGCUUGUUGACAAUCAAGAUACACAAAGUCCUGUCAGUGGGAUAAGGCAAAGUUAGAGUUCUCUAAAAUGGUUACAGAGAAGUGGGAAAAUGACAGAGUGGUUUGGCUGGAAGGCAUCUGACUAUAAAUCAGAAGAUCUAGGCCCCCAGCCAUAUGUGGCAACUGUUGCAUGAUCUUACAAGUCAUCAAACCUCUCCUGAGUCUCACUUUUCUCAUGUGUAAAAUGGGAGUGUUGGAUUAGGUGGUCUUUAAGAGUCUCUCUAGUUAUAACAUUUGAUGAUUUUAAAGUAAGAAAAGACCACAGAAUAAUUCCCUCUAAUUUGGUAAACACGUUGCUUUCUCCUGAGCUGUGUCUAUGUGGUUUGCAUUGGGUUUUAUGUUUCUGGGCUCUAGAAGUCACAUAGUAAAUAUUCGAGUCAUUCUUCCUUCUAUACAUGGGAAAAUUAGAAGAGAAUAAUUCUUCCUUUCUUUCUAUGUCAAUCUCUGUUUUCCAAUCAGACUUACAAGCUUAAGAUAAGGACACAAUCAUUCUGUUACUGACGAAGGCUCUUCCUCAUCUUUGUCACAGGCCCUUACUCAUGCUCAUGCAAGCUUAUCUGAUUGGGUUAUUUCUGUAUUUAUGUCCUGGCUAUUUUUUCUCUUUCAACUUGUUUAUGAAAUCCCUGGUAAGCAUAAAGCCGCAAAAACAAAAACAAAUAAAACAAAACAGCUCUGUUUGAAUAAUUUUCUUCAGUAAAGGCAGUAUAAGAAAACAUUCUAACACUCAGGGAAAAAAAAUCUUUUAAAAAUACUCCUAUAUCUUAGAAAAGAUGAAAUAAAAUGUUAUAUCAAUGAUAGUUUCAUACGUUGUUACUGCUUUUCAUUUUCCAAGAGAAUGUUACAUAUUGAGUUUAUAGUCUGGUGUGCAGAUGUGGAUAUUUCUCCCAAUAUUUCUCAGGCCACUGCAUCCUUGAAGCCAAGAAGGCCCAGAGCUUGCUGAGGUAGCUUUACACGGACAAAGGAACUACACAAAAAACCCAAUACCUGGAGCUUAUAUCGUAUACUGACUAGGCACUCCCGUCACUCAUGACUCACUCUUUCCCAUCUCUGUCCUGUUCCUCUACUGAUUUCAUUCUCUUCACCUAGAAUGCCCUCCGUUUGCCUCCCUUUACGGCUCAAAAUGUCCCCUAUCUUUCAAGACCCACCUAGCUCAAGCCCCAUCUCCAAGAAGCAACUUAAGUUGACCCAUCUUAGGACCCAGUGAUAAUUUUCAUGGCUAGAAAGCGUUCAUUAGCCCUUGUGAUAACUGGAGUCACUUACAACACAUAUCUAGCACGUGCUCAGAGAACACUGGGGAAAAAGAUUGUGAAGAGUGGCAGGGUCCUUGUAAAACGGAAAAAAAAAAAACGCUAGCUUUAAGAAUAGGCCCAAUAUAGUAGCUGCGGUACAUGAGAGAAAAGUUGUAGCUUUGUAAAGAAAAGUUGUAGCCUUGUACAGAGGGAUUAUUUUAGAAUGGCCUGACUUUGCGCUUUUUUUUUUAACAAAGGAAAAGAGAUAUAAUAUCUUAAAAGAAGGAGUUAAGACAUUGAAUAUGGCAACAUACAGUCUUCUAAAGUUCAAAAAUAUUAAUUAUGAAGCUAAAAUGUCAAGAUUUUACUAGGAACACUACGGAGCACAGCUGAAACAGGCAAAGACAGAGGUAUGGGCAUAGAAUCUGAAUUUCACCUACCCUGAGUCCCCCUCAGUCUGAUGGCUCUGCCAUGCAUUGUGAUAAACCCCGACAGUGCUUAGCUGGGCUGAAGCGAUGGCCCGUGGUAUAUUCUGAUAGUGAAAGAUAGAAUGACGCUCAGAAAUGCUGGAUGCUGUUAGAUAUGUAUAUGAUUUUAUUUAUGUGUAUAUUUUUAUAUCUAUAUAUACAAACAUAUAUAUUUGUAUGAUGUUUGGCAACCUCACUCAUGGUAUUCCUGUGAAGGAGGCAUGUGGUAAACAUAAUUAGCCCAUUAAACAGAUGGUAUGGCUCUGGCAUAGCUCACUAUAUUCUAAAAUGGUGGAGCUGUGAGCAGGGGCUGAAGACAGAGUGCAGUCUGAUACACGGUUAACUGCGAAUCUCUGUGAAUUGCUGCUUUCUAAAGACAAUCUGGGUAGGCUACACUUGGCUGAGAAUUGGCGAUGGUUUGGGAAGCUUUAAAAAUAUACAAGGGGACAACGUUCACAUUCAUUCAGAUAUAGUAUCUUCAUUUUUACUUACUAGAGACAUUUUUUGAAAAAUAGCUUUUUAUCUUAACUCAUCUGUGUUCCAAGCAAACUCCCAAAUUGCUGAGCAGAUUAAAAAAAAAAACCCUACAUGCCAAGUAGAAACACUGGGUACAUUUUUUUUAAUUGUCUUAACAAAGUGCACUAUUGGAAAGGAUAAAGUUGAAAGAGGUUUGGUACCACACACAUAAACUCAUAGUCAUUGUAGAGUUCUGCAUGAGGUGCCAUUUUACCUGGCUGGAUUGUGUAUGCUGUGGCAUUGCCACUCCAUGGUACGGCUGGCUUCACCGAACCUGAAAUUAAAUAUUGUAGCCCAAUUCUUUUUUUUUUUUUCGUGAGGAAGAUUAGCUCUGGGCUAACAUCCAUUGCCAAUCUUCCUCUUUUUUUGCUUGAGGGAGAUUAGCCCUCAGCUAACAUUCAUGCCAUCUUCCUCAACUUUGUAUAUGGGAUGCCUCCACAGCAUGGCUGAUGAGUGGAGUAGGUCCACACCGGGGAUCCGAACCCCAGCACUGGGCCUCCGUAGCAGAGCGUACGAAACUUUAACCACUCAGCUCUGGGGCCGGUGCCUCUAGCCCACUUCUUUGUCAGCUGAAACAGGGGCUAGCAGAAGUGAAAGGGUUACUAAAAGUUAAGACUUGAAUUUACAAAUGUAUUUGAACUGGCUUCCAGAAGACAUGAAACAUCAAUACAUCUGGAGAGGAGAACUUGCAAUUGACUGUUCUUUAGCAUCUGGUCUCAAGAACAUUUGCUGCUUGGAAGUUGCAUAAGCAGUGAAAAAACACACAAACAGCUUCCUGUACCAUGCUUUUGGUCACUUAUAAUGACGCAUUACAAAGUAAAACAGCUAAAUGUGAGCAACUGUGCCUUACUCCAGAUGACAACAUACGUUAUAUAACUAAGAUCAAUGACAGAGGACAUCUUUAUUUUAAGAGAUCUAGACUUGAAAAAAUAGUCAAAAAUAAAUAUCCUUCCUUCCAAGGUGUUUGUCUCGAGUAAUUUUGGCUAGAUUUGUUUUUAAUGUCCCUGAAAAACCACUUCUAAUUUUUUCCAAAUUAAAAAAAGAACAACAAAAAAAGCCAUCCUGGGGAAUGAAAUGUUCCAUAUAUAAUUUUUUUAAUGACAUAAACUUGCCACUUUAAGUAAUAAAAUAUGUUUUACACUUUUUUAAUAGAAAACUUUAAUAUAUCCUUGUUUGCUUAAACUGAGCAUGCUGAUAUCAUUUAUAUUUUUUUCUUAUGAAACAGGGUCAUCCUUGUGAACGCUCACUCCUCCUGUUCUUCAAUAAUACAUUUUAUUUUUCUUGAGAAUCAGACUCGUCCCUCAGCUCUCAGUCUAACGGCCACAAGCUGAGCUGCAGCCCACUGGUCACUGCCAUAGCUCAGGGGUGUCACCGUCCCAGUUUUUAAGAGCCAUCUCCUUCCAACCUUAAAUGCUAGGUAUAUUUUCUUGUCUGCUUUGGAUUGGAAAACCAGAAAAAUGAGUGCUGUAAAGACAAGAUUGCUUGGAAGCGAGGUUUAGUCAGAGACUUUGGGACACUCAUUUGCAUGUCUGCAGGUCUUCGUUUCUUUCUUUCUGUUGGAAUUCAGACUCUGAAUUGUCAGAAACCAGACUUCAAAGUAUUAUUGUAUAACACAGAGUGUGACUUUUAUGCUGUUUUAUUGCAGGGGUUCUUAUUUUCAAAGAGGUUGCCCAGAAAGCCAUUCUUGAUUACUUUAUUUGUAGGGCUCUGAUCCAUUCCAUCUCACCUCCUGAUUUCCGCAGGCAACGUAACUAACAUGAUAACUUCGAGAAAUAAUAGCACAUUUUUUAGGAUAAGGUGAGAGAUUCUUGCUAAUUGCCUUCAUCAUAGGGAUGGGAGCAAAAGUAUAUAGUCAAAUUAGAAAAUUUCUCUCUUCGGCCAAUUUUUCUCUAGAUUUUGAACAGGACUCUGGCCUAACUGGACAUUAGGAAAAAAAUUAAAAGUAUUGUGAAGCUAUUUAUAUUAAUUUAAGUGUUCAGAAAAGUAAUAUCCGAGCAUCUUUUCUCCCUUGCCCCAAAAGGAGAAAUCAGUAUAAUUCACAACCUGUGGUAGUCAGGAUAGGGAUUACGUUGCAAUUUACCUUUUCCCUCUCUCUGAAAAUAGGAUUUCUAAGCAAACUAAUAGUGUUAAGAUUUUUGAGGGGAGGGAGCAAGGAGAACCAUGUUUAACCUAUAAGAGGGGGAAAGAAAACUUUUAAAAUAUUUUAAAAUACACAUAUCUGAUAAGCUACUGAUAAUUCUUAUUUAUUUUGAAGCCUCUGCUCAAGAAACUCUUACUUAUUAACACUUGGAAAUCUCAGUUCAAACUACAUACAAAUAUUCUAUGAUUCAUACUUUCAGCUAAUUCAGUUUGGUUGUCUCUUUCCCAGUUCGUCUGAACUGGUGAAAUUUUACAAAAUAAGCAUGGGUAGCUUCCUAGAGUUACAUUUUUACUUGUUUAUUUGUUAAUUUUUGUAACAUGUUUAUGUGACAAAAAAAAGUAAGUGCUAGGUCUACUUGUUAUAGAUUAUUUUUGGACAAAGAGAGUUUGCAAGAAACUGUCGGUUUUACAGCAGCCAAGUUACUGGGGACUAAAGCAGAAGUUCAGGAAUAGACUGGUCUUCAACCAGUUUUCCACAACAGCAUCUGCGGACAUGGUUAAUGAGUUCUGAAAUUCAUUCACAUGGCUAAUCUUUUAGGAAUCUCAUAACCUUGCCUGACCUUUCCAUAAUCACGAGAGAAAAACCUUGGCAAAAUUAGAACCAGUCGUCAGGUCCUGUUUUCCUUUCUUCUACUCAUUUUCUUUCUUUCUUUUUUUUUGGUAUUGGAACAAUCAAAAGACUCCACGUUUUUAAAUUCCUUGGAAGACUAACGAUUGAAUAAUUUUCUCACUCUCUGUUUGCACUUUCACAGUCUGGUUGCAUUGAUUUGUGUCUCAUAAGUAGAUAUUUCCUUUGCUGGUUACAAAUCAAUGCUAUAGAACAAACCUGCCAGCACAUUCCCAUCUCCCCACCACCCUCACCUCCCUGCAGUUUGAAAAACAGAGCGCAGUUUUCUUUUAAAAAAUUAGUUUCAUUGGUUGGUAACAUACUAAAAGAAGAGAAAGCCCAAGAGUUUAAAAAAAAAAAAAAUCCGUGGGAAAAGGAGCGCCUCCCAAGUGGGUCUCUGCUGCUUUCUCAGCGCCUGGAGCAGAGGACCGCUUAGUGGGAGAGCAGCGCUCGUCUGCCCUCCGCUUCCGGUGUGUGCUCUGUUAACCCAACUAAGGUCCUCACCUUCAUACAUCACAAGGCUGCCCAAAGCCACACACUGUGAUGUCACAGUCAGAUAUGAUUUCAUGGCCGGAAAAAACAAAAAGGCAGAAAAGGUUGAAUGUAUUUUCCUUUUAUUCAAAUCUUCUAAGAGGGGGCAAAAGGGAAGAUGAUUUUUUUUUUCCCUAAGAGAAAAAGAGGACAAGCUUUCUCCCGUGAAUGUGAAAACUCCAUUCUGAAGAUUCCCCGGUGCUGUUACCCCAAGUGGAUAAGCACGAAUAAAGAAGCACAAAGAAGUACCCUCAUCAAUCCCAAUGCUCUCGCCACCGCUCAGCUACAGGUAGAGAGCAAGCAGGCACCAUUUGAUUUACCUAGAUUAAAAGAGCAAUUUUCCGUCCUCUUUUUUUCCUUUUAAAAAUAGCCAAUCGAUUUUGGCCUCGCUAUGGCUGACUGUACCAGGGCCAUUUUGAUACAUCGCUGAUUAAAUAGUGUGCUCAUGGCUGAAGGCAUGACAGCAGGAACAGGCAGAAGCUGCCGAAGGAAUGGGGAUGGGAGACCACAGGCCCCAGCUCCAGAAAGCCUGCUGGCUGACACUGCAGCGGAUGCUCCACGAGGGCCCGACCGCCAGCCCUUCGCCAGCGGACUGCCGAUAGCACAUUCUAGACUUGAACUUGGUGGACUAUGAUUCUGGGAGUUUGAAGCCUGCAAUUCAUUUAGCUUUUUAAUUCUGACCUUAAGAAUGAGAGAAAAAAAAUCAAAGUCCUUUGAUUUUUUAAAAAAUACGGAUGGGGGAAAUAUUGCCUCCUAAAUUGCAACGACAGCUGAACUGAAGAUGGGAAUUUGCUUCUCAGGAACAAGCCUAUUUAACUGUUUUUUAUGAAACAGUUACAUUUUCAUCAGUUACAGAGUUAGAGUCUUCUACCAAAAGGGGAUCUAGUCGUUUAGAGACCUUGGUUGCACAAAAAAUUGCACAAAAAAGAAACACAGAAACGAAACAGGUCUUUUAUAGACGGUGACUCUAUGUUGGGAUUCAUCCGCAGCCCUCAGAAAAGUGAGACGGUCUCCACCAGCUCUGGGAAGUAACCAUCUUGAUUACUACGAGAAAGUACAACCUUCACCGAAGUCUGUGUGGCUGGAAAAAUAUCCUAGGGAGGGGCGCUCAGGCCACUCUUCUAGAGCCCCAGCAUCCACAGACGUUUCUUCAGAAAAACGCAGAGUCCACCCGACAGGUGAGGCUGUCGUGCCACAAUGGAUCUGAGGACACGGGAAAUGCAUCUGGGAAUUAGUGAAAUCCAUUUUUAAAAAGUGAACCUACUUUAGUUUUUUUUUUUUUCUUUCAUCUACUGCUUCCUCUCUCCCUUUUGUUCUUUCCCAUUAUUGUUUACUUAAUUUGAAUCCUGGCCUUCACGGGGAUGGAACUGUAUCCAGAGGUACUAUUAAGAACCUGGCCAAGUAUAGAUGCAGAGGGUGAAACCCAAUCGCAGAGCGCUGACAGAGCUCCUCUUAUGGCCUGCAGAACAGAUCUACCGAGUCCUACACCUCCUGGCCAGCAGUGACAAGGAUGUGCAGAAUGGAUUAAUGAGUUCUUGUUUUUGGCCCUUGUUUAACUCAAAAACUCGUUUCAACUUAAAUAAAUUAAACCCUUUAGGUCCAGAAGGGGGUUAAGGAGUGUAUAAGGUGAGCUGGAACCUGGAAUUUCUGUCAGCUCACUACACACGUUCGCCAAAUGGUCAAGUCCUCACUUUAAACCCCAGCAAGACAAGAUAAGCUCUGUCUGCCCAGCAGCCUUCCAGAGGCAUUAAGGGUAAGAGAGAAGGAAGGAUGGCUGGGUAAAAAAAAUGGAGAGAAAUGAAAGACUAACUACUUCUAGCUUAGACCACUGCAUCUUCUGCUGACACUGUGGCUUUCCUACCUUUUCCCGGGGAUUUCUCGCAAUGAGGUUCAAAGCACACCUGGCAGCCACUCUGAGACAACAAAGGGCAGAGGCUCUUUGGAGCUGCGGCUGUCGCUUCUCUGGUGUCAAAGAUCAAACCUCGUGGCAGUGAAGUAGGACCUUAUGUAAUCACCAGUGAGAGCUUUGUAAAAGCCAUUUCAGUCUGGCGUGUGAAGAACACACAGCAAGAAGAACGUGGGGAGCAUCUGAAAGAAGAGUACAGCGGUAGAGGCUGCGUGGUCAUUUUGGUGAUCAAGAAGCACCAGCCAGGGGAGAGGUUAUUGUUUGAAUGCCAGUGUGAUUCAGAGAGAGGGCCAGGACACACAAUAUUCACAAGGAGCUGAGAGGAAGAAGUGUCCAGAGCCAUAAAGUCACCAGGGACACACCCAAAGGCAGCUGCUGUGAUGCAGACCUUGAGAGUUAAUUGUUCAUUCAAAGAGGAUUGUGAAACUCAAAUGUAAGAGGAGAAGAUGAUAAUCCAAACAGCACAAUUCUGGGUCUUUUUCUUCUUGUAAAAGGAAGAAAAAAAAAAAAGGAGAGAGAAAAAAGAAAACAAUACCCAGAAAUACUGUACCAUACUGGCAGUUUACUCUCUCUUUCUUGAACCAAAUCAGCAUGUUAAUGACAUAAAAACUUACUUUCCUUAUGGGGACAAUCAGGCUCUAUCACACACAACAUUAAAUACGCGGGUUUUAAAAGGAAAAACAAACCAAAUCACCAGAAACACCUCACUCUGGCAAUGGUGAGGUUGGCCAAAGCAGACUGUGUCCUUAAUGUCCAGCACAACCUGUGAAUCCAGAAAAGCAUCUAUGAAGCUAGACUGGAACUAUCAGGCCUCAUUUCCACCAAAGAGGAGUUCCCUUAAGGAUUCCGGAAGGGGGGAUCUGGAGGAGCUUUCAGUCUCUUUUUUGGAAUGACAGAACCAGGGCAGGCUCCUCUGGGGGUCAGGUCGGCCCCACCAUGCGGAGUCCCUGUGUCUAAAUGAUAAGUAAUCGAAAUGAAAAGACACUAUUUCAAUGGCUGCCCUGAAAGAGUCUUAAAAGCAAAUAAACAAGUCCCCAG
Molecule: long non-coding RNA, 9873 nt
Filed under: Equus asinus (donkey)
Lineage: Eukaryota; Metazoa; Chordata; Mammalia; Perissodactyla; Equidae
Description: lncRNA (ENSEASG00005029522.1)
Source: RNAcentral